CGAAGGAAGUUCAAGUUGGCUUGCAUCAUGUGGAAAGGGCCCAAAAUCUUGGAGAAGAAAUUAACAUUCUUACUUGUUACAAAUCUGGUCGGGAGCGUCGCUUACAACUUCAGAAGUCGAAGUACCAGAAGAUGAAAGAAUAUCCCCCCUUUUGAAUUGGUCGAGUUUAUUUGAAGUGUUUGUCUCCUGUGCAGUUUAAUUCUAAUGUAAUGACUUAUGCCAAUAAAAUAUGGUUCAAUGUCUU
RNAcentral lists this long non-coding RNA (244 nucleotides) under Lathyrus oleraceus (garden pea). Its description in RNAcentral is "Pisum sativum (pea) long non-coding RNA (PSAT_LNC023726)". The record is from RNAcentral. Lineage: Eukaryota; Viridiplantae; Streptophyta; Magnoliopsida; Fabales; Fabaceae.